RNAcentral lists this ribosomal RNA (440 nucleotides) under Otiothops birabeni. RNAcentral describes it as "partial 16S ribosomal RNA". It matches the Rfam family "Archaeal large subunit ribosomal RNA", at positions 1926 to 2671 of the family's 2987-position model. Lineage: Eukaryota; Metazoa; Arthropoda; Arachnida; Araneae; Palpimanidae. The record is from RNAcentral.
UUCUUAUAGAGUUAAUUAUAAGUAUAGCCUGCUCAAUGAAAUUUAAAUAGCCGCAAUCACUUGUGCUAAGGUAGCAUAAUCAUUUGUUUUUUAAUUAAAAACUAGAAUGAAAGGCUCAACGUUUAAUUAACUUUAUUUAUUAAUUUAUACUAAAUUAGUUUAAAUGUUAAAAAACAUUUAUUCUUAAAAUAGACGAUAAGACCCUAUCAAACUUUACUUAAGUUAAGCUGGGGCAGCUUUUAAACAAAAUCUUUAUUAUUUUAUUAAAAUAAAUGACCCAUUAUUAAUGAUAAAAUGAUCAAGUUACUGUAGGGAUAACAGCAUAAUCAAAUUCUAAAGCUCUUAUUUAAAAUUUGGAUUGUGACCUCGAUGUUGAAUAAUAUUAUAACUUAGCGCAACAACUAAUGUUUAUAGGUCUGUUCGACCUUUAAUUUAUUACA